GAUGAAGAACGUAGCGAAAUGCGAUAAGUAGUGUGAAUUGCAGAAUUCAGUGAAUCAUCGAAUCUUUGAACGCACAUUGCGCCCGGCAGUACUCUGCCGGGCAUGCCUGUUCGAGCGUCAUUUCAACCCUCAAGCCCUGCUUGGUGUUGGGGUCCCACGGCCGCCGUGGGCCCUGAAAGGAAGUGGCGGGCUCGCUACAACUCCGAGCGUAGUAAUUCAUUAUCUCGCUUAGGGCGUUGGGCGGCGCUCCUGCCGUUAAAGAACCAUCUUUAACUCAAGGUUGACCUCGGAUCAGGUAGGAAUACCCGCUGAACUUAAGCAUAUCAAUAAGCGGAGGA
RNAcentral lists this unclassified non-coding RNA (338 nucleotides) under soil metagenome. RNAcentral describes it as "partial contains 5.8S ribosomal RNA, internal transcribed spacer 2, and large subunit ribosomal RNA". The stretch from base 1 to 120 matches the Rfam family "5.8S ribosomal RNA", at positions 35 to 154 of the family's 154-position model. The record is from RNAcentral.